UUCGGGGUAGCUUAAAACAAAGCAUUGAUUUUGUAAUUCAAAGAGUGGAAUAGUUCCCUCCGAAU
Molecule: transfer RNA, 65 nt
Filed under: Thuridilla gracilis
Lineage: Eukaryota; Metazoa; Mollusca; Gastropoda; Plakobranchidae
Description: tRNA-Thr
Rfam family: tRNA
About the family: Transfer RNA (tRNA) molecules are approximately 80 nucleotides in length.
Source: RNAcentral